Molecule: signal recognition particle RNA, 304 nt
Filed under: Microcebus murinus (gray mouse lemur)
Lineage: Eukaryota; Metazoa; Chordata; Mammalia; Primates; Cheirogaleidae
Description: Metazoan signal recognition particle RNA (ENSMICG00000034760.2)
Rfam family: Metazoan signal recognition particle RNA
About the family: The signal recognition particle (SRP) is a universally conserved ribonucleoprotein.
Source: RNAcentral
GCCAGACACAGUGGCUCGCGCUUGUAGUUCCCAGCUACUUGGGAGGCUGAGGCAGGAGGAUCGCUUGAGUCCAGGAGUUCUGGGCUGUAGUGCACUAUGACAAUUGGGUGUCCACACUAAAGUUAGGCAUCAAUAAGGUGACCUCCCGGGAGCAGGGGACCACCAGGGGUUGCCUAAGGAGGCUGUGAACCAGCCCAGGUUGGAAAAGGAGCAGGUCAAAACUCCCAUGCUGAUCAGUAGUGUUAUCGCACCUGUGAAUAACCACUGCACUCCAGCCUGGACAACAUAGCAAGACCCUGUCUCU